RNAcentral lists this ribosomal RNA (429 nucleotides) under Bacillota bacterium. RNAcentral's name for it is "Firmicutes bacterium partial 16S ribosomal RNA". It matches the Rfam family "Bacterial small subunit ribosomal RNA", at positions 355 to 776 of the family's 1533-position model. Lineage: Bacteria; Bacillati; Bacillota. The record is from RNAcentral.
UAGGGAAUCUUCGGCAAUGGACGGAAGUCUGACCGAGCAACGCCGCGUGAGUGAAGAAGGUUUUCGGAUCGUACAGCUCUGUUGUUAGAGAAGAACGUUGGUAGGAGUGGAAAAUCUACCAAGUGACGGUAACUAACCAGAAAGGGACGGCUAACUACGUGCCAGCAGCCGCGGUAAUACGUAGGUCCCGAGCGUUGUCCGGAUUUAUUGGGCGUAAAGCGAGCGCAGGCGGUUCUUUAAGUCUGAAGUUAAAGGCAGUGGCUUAACCAUUGUACGCUUUGGAAACGGGAGGACUGGAGUGCAGAAGGGGAGAGUGGAAUUCCAUGUGUAGCGGUGAAAUGCGUAGAUAUAUGGAGGAACACCGGUGGCGAAAGCGGCUCUCUGGUAUGUAACUGACGCUGAGGCUCGAAAGCGUGGGGAGCAAACAGG